Molecule: ribosomal RNA, 433 nt
Filed under: uncultured bacterium
Lineage: Bacteria
Description: partial 16S ribosomal RNA
Rfam family: Bacterial small subunit ribosomal RNA
Source: RNAcentral
AACGAACGCUGGCGGCAUGCCUAACACAUGCAAGUCGAACGAGACCUUCGGGUCUAGUUGCGCACGGGUGCGUAACGCGUGGGAACCUGCCCUUAGGUUCGGAAUAACUCCCCGAAAGGGGUGCUAAUACCGGAUAAUGUCAUCGGACCAAACAUUUAACGCCUUUGGAUGGGCCCGCGUUCGAUUAGCUAGUUGGUAGGGUAAAUGCCUACCAAGGCGACGCUCCUUAGCUGGUCUGAGAGGAUGAUCAGCCACACUGGGACUGAGACACCGCCCGGACUCCUACGGGAAGCAGCAGUGGGGAAUAUUGGACAAUGGGCGAGAGCCUGAGCCAGCAAUGCCGCGUGAGUGAUGAAGGCCUUAGGGUUGUAAAGCUCUUUUACCCGGGAUGAUAAUGACAGUACCGGGAGAAUAAGCUCCGGCUAACUCCGUG